This 255-nucleotide ribosomal RNA is filed under the name uncultured bacterium. Its description in RNAcentral is "partial 16S ribosomal RNA". It matches the Rfam family "Bacterial small subunit ribosomal RNA", at positions 524 to 777 of the family's 1533-position model. The record is from RNAcentral.
UACAGAGGUCUCAAGCGUUGUUCGGAUUCAUUGGGCGUAAAGGGUGCGUAGGUGGCAUGGUAAGUCGGAUGUGAAAUCCCGGGGCUCAACCCCGGAACUGCAUUCGAUACUGCUGCGCUAGAGUACUGGAGAGGAGAUUGGAAUUUACGGUGUAGCAGUGAAAUGCGUAGAUAUCGUAAGGAAGACCAGUGGCGAAGGCGGAUCUCUGGACAGUUACUGACACUGAGGCACGAAGGCCAGGGGGAGCAAACCGGG